This 1435-nucleotide unclassified non-coding RNA is filed under the name Hevea brasiliensis (rubber tree). Lineage: Eukaryota; Viridiplantae; Streptophyta; Magnoliopsida; Malpighiales; Euphorbiaceae. The record is from RNAcentral.
AAAAAAAAAAACUAAUGUUUAGAUUCCUUGUAAUUAAAGAAAACCUUAUUCCAAAAUAUGUGUGUUUCUUUCGCAAGAAAAGAAAAAGGAGCAGGUAUGCUGGUAUGAUAUCAAACAACAGUGAGUAAUUUAUACAAGUAUCCAAACAAAUGACUGAAACAACAAGCUUUAUUGCAAUUGAAUCAACGAAUGAAUUUUUCAAGAGGAUCUGUCCGGCUAAGCGUCAGAUGGUGCAAUCCAGUGUCUCCCAUUGACAAAACUCUUUGCUAGGAAUUUAUGUGCCGUUUCAUAGUCCAGCUCCCUUGCCCAUGAUACACCCCUAACUUUUGCAGCUCCAGGCCCCCAGCAUUUGUACACCCCAAAGAACACGGUCUUGUUUUUGUUGCUGACGUGGUCCCAAUCAUCCCAGCCACCGUGUGCAACCAAGUCACUAAAGUAAGUAUAGGAGUAGACUAUCCUCGAGUACUGGCCCAUAGCCCGGCCCACAUAUAAUGGGCCAGUGCCAGUUACCCUACAGCGAAUAAAAGCAAAGCCUGUUUUCUCAUCUGGUGACUUUCUAUCUUGGGCCGCAAUGGAUCCAAAUCUGGUAGCUAUCGAGUGCAGCUCGCAGUCUUUGUACAUGGAGCGGCCAUUUCCAAAAAUGAAGUCUAUAGAGCCCUCAAUAUAACAUUCCUUGAAGUAAUGCCUCCCUGCAUCAUCGCAUAGAGUGUCUUGUGCACCGUAGAAUCCACACCCUGAAAAGUAUGCCUUGUCCCCUGAUAUGCGAAAUGCCGCCGCUUGCCACCCUUGCAUUCCUGGCAUUGGUGCUGGUGCUGUGUUCUUAAAGCUGAUAUUUCUAGCAGAGAAAUAACUGGCAAAAACAGUGACAGAAGCAGUUCUGUAAGUACGCAGCUGCUGGCCGUUGGGACCACGAUCGCUUGCCCUAUCAUGCCAUUCGAUGAACGUCACGUCUCUCCCCGCACCUUGAAAUGUUAUGUAUGGUUUCGUCACUGGCACCACCACCUUCUCUAUGUAAUAUCCAGCGCUAAUUUUAAUCAGCACAUUUUCUGUAUUGUUCUCCUUGACAGAAUCCACAGCAGCUUGUACAGACCGGAACUCGCCAGACCCAUUAACGUCAACAGUGAUCACACGCUGGCCGACGGGUCCUACCCAUUUGCGGUGGUGCUGGGUGGAGUUGUUAGAGACUGUAGCGUUGACCGAGUUGAGCCUGUACCUGUAAAUAGAGCUUGUAACUAAGAAUGGUUGAUGCGAUAAAAACAAAGUCAAUACAAAGUAGAAAUUGAAGAACAUGAAAAAAUUGAAAGAUGCCAUUAAAUUGUAAUGAAUAGUCAGAGAAUGGAAUGGUAUAGAGAAAGCAGAAUGUCUUGGGGAUUUUCUUGAAGAGCUUCAAAGGAAUGUAAAAUUAUAGAGAAACGCAGGUCAAGUACAGGAAAAA